GCCUUCGUGGUGUAGUGGUCAGCCCGCUCGGCGCGUAUUCGAGAGGUCCAUGGUUCGAAUUCCGUCGAGGGCA
Stegodyphus mimosarum is the source of this 73-nucleotide non-coding RNA. The record is from Rfam. NCBI's taxonomy places the organism in Eukaryota, Metazoa, Arthropoda, Arachnida, Araneae, Eresidae.